UCGGGAAUUUUGCGCAAUGGACGAAAGUCUGACGCAGCAACGCCGCGUGAGGGAUGACGGCCUUCGGGUUGUAAACCUCUUUUGUCAGGGACGAUAAUGACGGUACCUGACGAAUAAGCCACGGCUAACUACGUGCCAGCAGCCGCGGUAAUACGUAGGUGGCAAGCGUUGUCCGGAUUUACUGGGCGUAAAGAGCGCGCAGGCGGUCGUUCAAGUCGA
This 219-nucleotide ribosomal RNA is filed under the name uncultured bacterium. RNAcentral's name for it is "partial 16S ribosomal RNA". It matches the Rfam family "Bacterial small subunit ribosomal RNA", at positions 355 to 591 of the family's 1533-position model. The record is from RNAcentral.